This 403-nucleotide ribosomal RNA is filed under the name uncultured bacterium. Its description in RNAcentral is "bacterial SSU rRNA". It matches the Rfam family "Bacterial small subunit ribosomal RNA", at positions 29 to 416 of the family's 1533-position model. The record is from RNAcentral.
AACGAACGCUGGCGGCGUGCCUAACACAUGCAAGUCGAACGAGAAAGGGGCUUCGGCCCUGAGUAAAGUGGCGCACGGGUGAGUAACACGUAGGUAACCUGCCUCUAAGAUCGGGAUAACCCGUCGAAAGACGAGCUAAUACCGGAUAAGACCACAGUCUCCUCGGAGAUCGGGGCCAAAGGUAGCCUCUACUUGUAAGCUAUCACUUAGAGAUGGGCCUGCGUACCAUUAGCUAGUUGGGGGGUAAUGGCCUACCAAGGCAAAGAUGGUUAGCUGGUCUGAGAGGAUGAUCAGCCACACUGGAACUGAGACACGGUCCAGACUCCUACGGGAGGCAGCAGUGGGGAAUAUUGCGCAAUGGGCGAAAGCCUGACGCAGCAACGCCGCGUGAGUGAUGAAGGCC